This is a long non-coding RNA of Chrysemys picta bellii (western painted turtle), 5858 nucleotides long. RefSeq lists it as uncharacterized. The record is from RefSeq and is a predicted model, not a curated record. NCBI's taxonomy places the organism in Eukaryota, Metazoa, Chordata, Testudines, Emydidae.
GCGGCGGGAGCUGGAGCCCGGGCUGUGCCGCCGCCCGGAGGGCGCUUUAGAGCCGGAAGCGCCGCGCCGGGGCGAGCGGAAAAGAAAGCGGCAGCAGCGAGUGAAGGCCUGCCCCUCCCCUGCCGAGCGGCGGGCGCAUUUUCCGGUGGAACGCUUUUCAGCGGAAAGUUUCCCACCGGCUCUGCUCUGAAGUUCCUCACAGCCGUCUCUGUUUUUGACUGACUCAAAUGGCUGUAUGUCAUCAACAAGGUGGCAGCUGUCAAAUAUUUGGGCAGUGUCAGACAGUGCUGGAGGAUGCUUGAAAGACGUGGAUACUUGUAUAGCAGCAGCUGCUGCCAUGAUUUGGACCCUUCAGGGACCCUCUCUGGGACGUUGUGACCUACACCUUGCUACGAAGCCACGGAUCUAUAGAAUCACGGUUAUACCAACUUGGUUGUAUGUAAAGGAAAUAUCAGUGCUGAGGAAGGCUGAAGAAUAUGAUUGACGUUUUCGAUUCCUGUCCUUUCCGUCAGCUGCUCCAUAUAAAGUGUCAGGACAAAAUCAGGUCUGGGGAUAUUCGAAGCCAGACCCAGCAAGCACCUCCAUCAGAGGUUCAGUUUUGGUGGCUAACAAUAUGAGCAAGCUACUAAAGCAUUCUUCUGUUAAAGGGCUAAUUGCACAGGGAGAUUUAAAGGGACAAACAUAGAAGAGGUGAUGAGGAGAAAAAAAUCCUCCUCCCAUAAUCACGUACACGUGUGACUGAAAGCCUGGCAAGCAGAGCUUUGAAGAAAAUCAUUGUAGCAUAUCUUAUAAGGGUGCCCCAAAAAAGACCAGAGGGGUGAAAGGAGCAUCCUCAAACAUAGUUCCACUCCUCCCCAUCCUCCAUCCAAAUCGUCCCUUUGCCCCAAUUGUUCUCAACUCCAGCAUCAUCUUUCACCUUGUACUCUCAUUCUCCUCCCACAACUGCUCAGUCUGUAAAUCUUCCUGUCACCACCUGUGCUGUGAAUGCCAAUGCCUUGACCCUCCCUCUGUUCAUCUAGGCCACAAUCUCCUCUCACCUUGGAGUGCUGCAGGCCCUUCACUCUCUAGACUCUCAGUGCAGAACGCUGCUCUACGUAUUCUCACCCAUACAAAGGGGUCUGACUGCUUCAAGCCCAUCCUUAACCAUCUUAGCCGGCUCCCUGUUCAUUUUGGGAACCAGUUCCAAAUUGUUACCUGGGCCUUUACAUUUUUGAUUAGUCUUAGCUCCUAGGCCUCAUCUCUCGCUCUUCCCAUUCUCUAUGGCCACCCAGCACCCACCUUCUUGCUCUCACUACACAAAAUCUCCACACUGCUGGUAGAAGAAUCUCCUUGGUGCCGUUUCCGUUGUUUGGGACUGCAUUCCUGUAUAUGGCACCUUUCUACCUUAUUGACUGUUCUUUCAAAAAUCAUCUGGACUUUAUUAUUUGUAUUUGGGUAACGCUUAGAGGCCACAACCAAGAUUGGAGCCCCAAUUGGUUGAGCACCAUACAGAGAGUCUACACAGCAACUAGGAAUGUAAUUUCUAGUCAGGUAGAUGUACAUGCCCUCACUUUGAUUAAGCUAGCAUGCUAAAAAAAGCAGUGUAGCCACACCAGCAUGGGCAGUGGCUCAGGCUAGCCACCUGACUACAAUCCCAACUGAGUUCCUAGGGAUGUCCUUGGGCGGUUAGCCUCCACCACCACCCAUGUUGCUGCUGCUGCUGCUACUAUUUUUCUCAUGUUAGCUUGAUCAAAGUUAGUGUGUACACAUAGAUUCAUGCUGUACCUUACAUCUCCAGCUACAGUUCAGAGGUACCCAUAGUAAGAGAUGGCCCCAUCCACAAAGACUUUUGUCUAAAUAUACAUGGUGGCAGAUGGAAGCGUUAUUAUCCUCAUUUUACAAAUGGGGAAUUGCAGCAUAGAGAAAUUAAAUGAUUUGCUUAAGGGCACACAGGGAAGUCUGUGGCAGAUGCCAGAAUUGAACCUAUAUUUCCUGAGUCCCCGUCCAGUGUCUUGACUGCAAGGCUACCCUGCCUCUCAAGGAAAAAAAAAUCUCCUUAGCCUGUGCGUCUUAAUUUCCCUUUCAUUUCAUUAAUUGGUUUGUGAAUAGUCAAAUAUCUUCAAUGUUCUUUUAACCAUAGUUUUCUGUAAUUACCAUCGUAUAUUCUCUGCUGCCCUCUAACUGAUUCUGGAAAGAGGUUUGUAUGAAAAUCAUUGUAUACAGUUGUACUGUGCUCUCUUUUUUAGUCUAUUCCCAUGAGGAUGGAUUAAUUUAAAUGCCCUAUAUCUCAGUUACUUUAAUCCAUUUAUUUGAAGAUGGGCCAAACUGCUCAAUUCUAGGAUCCCUUGCAAAAAUAAAAGGAUUUUUUCAUAGGCAAUCUCUCCAUAGGAUCAUUUCCCUCUGCAUCUAUGUCUAGUGGCUGCUGUGAGUUGAAACAAUUCUAAAUCUUACUCUGGUAGAACUCCACUAUUUGAUGCUAGUGUUCUGAGUCUCUGUAAGUGUUUUUAAUUGCUCAGAAAAAAUAAUGCCAAAACUGAACCAACUGCCAGUGUUUCCAGGGGUCUGAUUGCAUUCACAAAUCUUGUAAUCUUUUUAUGUUCAUUCUGAGAAUACUACAAAAAAGGCAAUCAGAACUUGGCCAGCAAAUUAAGUGCUUAUUCAAAGAUUAAUUCACAUCAUCUGUACUCCAUUAGAUGUUCUCUUUUGCCAGGGAAUAUAAUGCAAUAUCUUCAGGGGGGAAUAAUUCCUGCUGUUGCCAAGUGCUUUCAAUUUACUGGCUCUUACUGCACUGACACAGGAAUCACAGGACCAUGGGCACAGCUAAAUCAGAUAUUGUGGCAACGUAUGGGAUGAGACAUAUGGAGCAAAUCUGUUUCAUUCCAGUGCUAAAAGAGUAUCGAUGACAAGUUUGCAAUGCAGCCAACUGACAUAGGGAAGGCAAUCCCACCGAUCAUUAAAAACAUAGCCCCCAUUAUACUAUGAGAGGAACAGAAUUUGUUUAAAUGUUAAUAGCUGGAUUUUUCAUUUGAAAUGUCAGAGAGAUGGCUCAGGUAGCUAGUGAUAUUUGAUCUCUCAAUUUUUAGGUGCCCAGCUUGAGACACCUCAAAGGGGCUUGAUCUUCCAAGUGUGGGUGCUCAGUACUUUCUCAAAAAACAGGUUUCCCUAUGGAGAGCACCAAAAAGAAAAAAAGGCUCCCAGAAUCAGAAAUCGCUGCUGAAAAUUAUAGCCAUGGUUUCCAUUGGAAUACAAUGGUCAUGGAUUAUAAACCAUCUUCUGAGGGUUUGUCUACACAGCCCCCAGCAGCGAGUCUCAGAGCCCGGUCAGCAGACUCAGACUCACGCUACGGCACUAAAAACAGCAGUGUAGAUGUUGUGGCUCGGGCUGGAGCUCAGGCUCCGAAGCCUAGGGAAGGAAGUGGGCUUCAGAGCCCAAACCCCAAUGUCUACACAGCCAUUAUUAGUGCCAUAGCAUGAGGCCUGCAAGCCCAGGUCUGUUGACCCAGGCUCUGAGAUUCACUGCUUGAAGCUGCCGUUCACUGUGUAGACAUAUCCAAUGUCUACCCUGUUUCUAAACCUCAGGCUGUUCAAAUGCUUUUGUGUAAGGUAGGGAACAAACAUCAACUAAGCCUAGAGCUCUUAACCUACAUGAUAGCAGCGAAGGACCUAUUGGGGUAAUACCAUGGAACUACAUACUCACUGCUCCUCCACACAGCGUACUUAAGAAUUACCAUGCAGAGUUCUGCCAAGUGUUGUUCAAUAGCCAUGUGAAGUAGGACCACUGGUAAUUAUGGCCUAGAGCAGCACCAGGAUGUUGGUGAGACACAACUGUGUAGCUUACAUCCCUGUUGUGGAGGCAUCGCCUGAUUGAUGUUGAUCACUAAAUGGAUCCUGAGGCAAAGCAGGAGUGUUUGGUGUCGGGUAAAAGUCUCCUUAGAAAGAAGCUCUCUCCCACUUCAUGUCUUUGCUUAUAGAGGAGACUCAUAAGAUAAGAAUCCGAGACACACUCUUGACACGCUCUUUCCAUAAAGAGUCACAUGUUGGAUGUGGUCCAAAGGCUCUUCCAGUCACAGUUUGUGCUGGCCAUCUGCUUAUCCAUUCCACAGCACUCUUGAAACACAUGCCCUCAUGACCAUAAGGCUUGGUUACAGAAUCCCCUCUGAGCGGAGCUGUCAGUUGAGAUCCUCCUAUUGCUCACAGAUUGUUCAGAAGGAAGCAGCACAUUUACUCACUGGCUUGAGCAUCAAUAAGUAUAUGGCACUCUGGGGUCAGAAGAAGGAGUGCAAUUCCCCCUCCUUUCCCUGGCUUAGGGAUGCAGCACAUCCCCACAGUGCUCCCUCUUCCUUGGCGGAUGCAAUGAGAACUCCGCCUCCUGUUUCAAUCUAUCUUAACACCAGCUCACACCCACCUUUACAUCAGCAGCCUAUAAAAAGGCAUAUGGACUUUAAGAUGAUGCUGUUGGGUUUUUAGACUAUGUUUGGUCAGUUGCCUGCCAUUGUGCAUCCCUCACCCCUCUGGCCUUUCUGGAUUUAUCAAAUCAAUUAAGUCUCAGGGAGAUCUAGGCAGGCCAUUUUAGCUAGGCUUAAACCUCCCAUAGUACUGUCUAGGUCAUUUUUUUGUGCCAGACUCUCAGAGAGACCCCAUAGCUGGAAAUAUCCAUGGAUAUAUCAUCUGGCUGCAUCUAGGGCUCCUCUCCCUCACAGAGGAACAACAACUGAAGAGAUGUAGGUUGAUGGGUAUACAGCACCCCAGGUUUGAUCUAGGUAGGUCUUGAUAACAGACCAUAUACUUUUUUCCAGAUGUGCCUCUGCAUCUACUGUGUUUAAAAAUACGAAUGUACGGGUAUCUCAUGAAGCUUUCUUAAAGUUACAUUCUUUUUAGUCUAAAGUAAUUUUAAUGACUGGAUCACCAUGGACUGUAGAUGCCAUAUUGUCUGUAUUAAAGUGUAUUCGUAUUUGAAUGAAUAACAUACCAGCGCAGUCAUUUUCUCCAAGGCCCAGAUCCAAUGCCCAUUGAAGUCAGUGGGAAUCUUUCUGUUGACUUUAGUGGGUGCUGGAAUAGGGCCCAAUGGCACGUGGCUCGAUAUGGAAGUCCGAAUGCUACAUGUUUUGAAGUAGCCAUUUAAAAUGGGUUUCCCUGAAGGGCAGAGUGAAGCAACAGUAGAUUGUUUAUGCCCUGGAGGAGCCAUGCAAGGGGGAGUUCUGUGCUCCAUAGUGAGACUUUUAGAUAUGGAAGUAAAUAUUAGAAUUGUUACCAAAAUAAUAUUGUGGAAAAACCUAUGCUCUGCCUGACAUUUAGAAAACGAAUCCCUUCUUUCAGUACAAAAUGCCGACUUCUCCCAAUAGCUACUCCGAACCAAGGGGGAAAUUUGAAUUACCCUCUAAUGAGAUUUUAUUUUUAUUAUUAUUAUUAUUAUGCCCCAUAAAUAUCAAGGUUUUUUAUUUUUUUAUUCCCAAGCUCUUCCCUUCAGGAAAUGUCAGCCAAGCAUAACCCAGUGAAAAAUGAACAUUAUGUUUGCCUUGGCUUCUCAGACUCAUGAUGAUUCCAGAGUGUGGGCAGAACAAAACAGAGAGGCCCAGACAAACAACCUGGCCUGAAAAUUGGGCACUGUCUGAAGCCAGUUUGUGUGUACUGGGAAUCAAACCUGUAUGCUGGGCUUUGCCAAGUCUGGUGCUUUUCCUUCACUUUCCCAAGCCCAUGGAAGCCACAUCAAUAUAUACAUUUUCGAGAAAGAUAUUUAAGAUCUUCCAAAGUUUCAGGCUAUAUCCUUCCUCACCUUCCUUCACACCAGUUGCAUUGAAACAACUAUUAUAAACUGCAUUGUAAAGGUUUCACAGACUUCACCAUCUUUGGGCUGUUUUAUAGCUGGCACUGUAGCGUCCU